GACGAACGCUGGCGGCGUGCUUAACACAUGCAAGUCGAACGGAAAGGCCCUGCUUUUGUGGGGUGCUCGAGUGGCGAACGGGUGAGUAACACGUGAGUAACCUGCCCUUGACUUUGGGAUAACUUCAGGAAACUGGGGCUAAUACCGGAUAGGAGCUCCUGCUGCAUGGUGGGGGUUGGAAAGUUUCGGCGGUUGGGGAUGGACUCGCGGCUUAUCAGCUUGUUGGUGGGGUAGUGGCUUACCAAGGCUUUGACGGGUAGCCGGCCUGGGAGGGUGACCGGCCACAGUGGGACGGGGAUACGGCCCAGACUCCUACGGGAGGCAGCAGUGGGGAAUAGUACACAAUGGGCGGAAGCCUGAUGCAGCAACGCCGCGUGCGGGAUGACGGCCUUCGGGUUGUAAACCGCUUUCGCCUGUGACGAAGCGUGAGUGACGGUAAUGGGUAAAGAAGCACCGGCUAACUACGUG
RNAcentral lists this ribosomal RNA (468 nucleotides) under uncultured bacterium. RNAcentral's name for it is "partial 16S ribosomal RNA". It matches the Rfam family "Bacterial small subunit ribosomal RNA", at positions 28 to 507 of the family's 1533-position model. The record is from RNAcentral.